AUCGUACUCCCUCCGUCUCAAAAUUAUUGUCAUAGGUUUGUUUAGAAAUCGAUGUAUAUAAAUACUAAAACGUGACUAGAUACAUUCAUAUCUAAACAAAUCUACGACAAGAAUUUUGGAACCGAGGGAGUAUCAA
Molecule: non-coding RNA, 136 nt
Organism: Hordeum vulgare subsp. vulgare (domesticated barley)
Lineage: Eukaryota; Viridiplantae; Streptophyta; Magnoliopsida; Poales; Poaceae
Source: Rfam